Molecule: ribosomal RNA, 431 nt
Filed under: uncultured bacterium
Lineage: Bacteria
Description: partial 16S ribosomal RNA
Rfam family: Bacterial small subunit ribosomal RNA
Source: RNAcentral
AACGAACGCUGGCGGCAGGCUUAACACAUGCAAGUCGAGCGCCCCGCCAGGGGAGCGGCCGACGGGUGAGUAACGCGUGGGAACGUACCUUUUGGUUCGGAACAACUCCGGGAAACUGGAGCUAAUACCGGAUAAGCCCUAACGGGGAAAGAUUUAUCGCCGAAAGAUCGGCCCGCGUCUGAUUAGCUAGUUGGUGAGGUAACGGCUCACCAAGGCGACGAUCAGUAGCUGGUCUGAGAGGAUGAUCAGCCACACUGGGACUGAGACACGGCCCAGACUCCUACGGGAGGCAGCAGUGGGGAAUAUUGGACAAUGGGCGCAAGCCUGAUCCAGCCAUGACGCGUGAGUGAUGAAGGCCUUAGGGUUGUAAAGCUCUUUUGUCCGGGAAGAUAAUGACUGUACCGGAAGAAUAAGCCCCGGCUAACUUCGUG